This 589-nucleotide ribosomal RNA is filed under the name uncultured bacterium. RNAcentral describes it as "bacterial SSU rRNA". It matches the Rfam family "Bacterial small subunit ribosomal RNA", at positions 102 to 687 of the family's 1533-position model. The record is from RNAcentral.
ACGGGUGAGUAAUGCCUAGGAAUCUGCCUGGUAGUGGGGGACAACGUUUCGAAAGGAACGCUAAUACCGCAUACGUCCUACGGGAGAAAGCAGGGGACCUUCGGGCCUUGCGCUAUCAGAUGAGCCUAGGUCGGAUUAGCUAGUUGGUGAGGUAAUGGCUCACCAAGGCGACGAUCCGUAACUGGUCUGAGAGGAUGAUCAGUCACACUGGAACUGAGACACGGUCCAGACUCCUACGGGAGGCAGCAGUGGGGAAUAUUGGACAAUGGGCGAAAGCCUGAUCCAGCCAUGCCGCGUGUGUGAAGAAGGUCUUCGGAUUGUAAAGCACUUUAAGUUGGGAGGAAGGGUUGUAGAUUAAUACUCUGCAAUUUUGACGUUACCGACAGAAUAAGCACCGGCUAACUCUGUGCCAGCAGCCGCGGUAAUACAGAGGGUGCAAGCGUUAAUCGGAAUUACUGGGCGUAAAGCGCGCGUAGGUGGUUUGUUAAGUUGGAUGUGAAAUCCCCGGGCUCAACCUGGGAACUGCAUCCAAAACUGGCAAGCUAGAGUAUGGUAGAGGGUGGUGGAAUUUCCUGUGUAGCGGUGAAAU